This 244-nucleotide ribosomal RNA is filed under the name uncultured bacterium. RNAcentral describes it as "partial 16S ribosomal RNA". It matches the Rfam family "Bacterial small subunit ribosomal RNA", at positions 15 to 244 of the family's 1533-position model. The record is from RNAcentral.
GAUCAUGGCUCAGGAUGAACGCUAGCUAUAGGCUUAACACAUGCAAGUCGAGGGGAAACGGCAUUAUGUGCUUGCACAUUUUGGACGUCGACCGGCGCACGGGUGAGUAUCGCGUAUCCAACCUGCCCUUUACUUGGGGAUACCCCGUUGAAAGACGGCCUAAUACCCGAUGUAAUUCAUUGAUGGCAUCAGAUAUGAAUAAAAGAAUUUAUUCGGUAAAGGAAUGGGGAGUGCGUCUGAUUAG